CUAGGCUCAAAAGAUUCGUCUUGUCAAUUCCGAUCAAACUGUGCAAUUAAUUUUUAUUUUCAUCUAUAUUUAAUACUUCACGCAUACGUUUAAAGAUUCGAUGUGACGGGGAAUCUGAAAAACCGCUUCGGCGCAUGAAAGAGGUGGCGACGGCGCUAGCUCGGUGAAGAAUACUAGACACGACGAACACUAGGCCAAAAAAGUGAAAAAAUUUCCAAUAUUUUCUGUCACAUCAAAUUUUGCGGCACAUGCAUAGAGCAUUAAAUAUAAAUAAAAAUAAAAAUUAAUUACAGAGUUUGUUUAUAAAUCACGAGACGAAUUUUGUGAACCUAGUUACACUAUAAUUAUAUAAUAUUUAUCAAAUAAAAAUAAAAAUGUUAAAAUCUAAAAAAAAAUUAGAUCUAAACAAGUAGGAGGACAGGUAGUACGUAUAUAUGUGGCGCAGUGGUCAGGGCUCAGGGCCUUGGCGCCUGGUACAUGCAGUGUACAAUACUCUACCUACUAGUCAAUGAAUGGCGUGGCGUGGCGCUUCUUGCUUGAGAGAUCAGAAUCAGAGGCUGGACUGGUUCGUUCGUUCCGUAGGUAGCUGUGUACAGUACGUAGCUGUGUGCAUAGGCGAGGGAGACGAUCGUGCCCGGACGGACGGACACGAUGGAGCCCAGCCCAGCCCAGCUGUGCGCUGGCAGCUGGUGGUGCCCUACCGCAU
This 706-nucleotide long non-coding RNA is filed under the name Sorghum bicolor (sorghum). RNAcentral's name for it is "long non-coding RNA (SBIC_LNC007594)". The record is from RNAcentral. Lineage: Eukaryota; Viridiplantae; Streptophyta; Magnoliopsida; Poales; Poaceae.